Molecule: ribosomal RNA, 450 nt
Filed under: Priestia megaterium
Lineage: Bacteria; Bacillati; Bacillota; Bacilli; Caryophanales; Bacillaceae
Description: bacterial SSU rRNA
Rfam family: Bacterial small subunit ribosomal RNA
Source: RNAcentral
GGGCGUAAAGCGCGCGCAGGCGGUUUCUUAAGUCUGAUGUGAAAGCCCACGGCUCAACCGGGGAGGGGCAUUGGAAACUGGGGAACUUGAGUGCAGAAGAGAAAAGCGGAAUUCCACGUGUAGCGGUGAAAUGCGUAGAGAUGUGGAGGAACACCAGUGGCGAAGGCGGCUUUUUGGUCUGUAACUGACGCUGAGGCGCGAAAGCGUGGGGAGCAAACAGGAUUAGAUACCCUGGUAGUCCACGCCGUAAACGAUGACUGCUAAGUGUUAGAGGCUUUCCGACCUUUAUGGCUGCACUUAACCCUUUAAUCGAUCGGCCGGGGAAGUCCGGCCGCAAGACUGAACCUCAAUGGAUUUGACGGGGGCCCGCACAACCGGGGAACCUGGGGGUUUAUUUCAAACCACCCCAAAAAACCUUACCAGGCCUGGACUGCCUAUGACUUCUCUAAA